GAAAGGCCAAUCAAACCGGGAGAUAGCUGGUUCUCCCCGAAAUCUAUUUAGGUAGAGCCUUGAGCGGACACCUUCGGGGGUAGAGCACUGUUUCGGCUAGGGGUCCAUCCCGGAUUACCAACCCGAUGCAAACUGCGAAUACCGAAGAGUGAUACUCAGGAGACACACGGCGGGUGCUAACGUUCGUCGUGGAGAGGGAAACAACCCAGACCGCCAGCUAAGGUCCCAAAGUCUAUAUUAAGUGGGAAACGAAGUGGGAAGGCUUAGACAGCUAGGAUGUUGGCUUAGAAGCAGCCAUCAUUUAAAGAAAGCGUAAUAGCUCACUAGUCGAGUCGGCCUGCGCGGAAGAUGUAACGGGGCUCAAAUAUAGCACCGAAGCUGCGGCAUCAGAAUUUAUUCUGUUGGGUAGGGGAGCGUUGUGUAAGCGGAAGAAGGUGGCUCGAGAGGGUUGCUGGACGUAUCACAAGUGCGAAUGCUGACAUAAGUAACGAUAAAACGAGUGAAAAACUCGUUCGCCGGAAGACCAAGGGUUCCUGUCCAACGUUAAUCGGGGCAGGGUGAGUCGGCCCCUAAGGCGAGGCUGAAAAGCGUAGUCGAUGGGAAACGGGUUAAUAUUCCCGUACUUGGUAAAGCUGCGAUGUGGGGACGGAGAAGGUUAGGUAAGCGGACUGUUGGAAAUGUCCGUUUAAGUUGGUAGUUGGGAGCGGUAGGCAAAUCCGCUGCUCCAUUCAACAACGAGAGAUGAUGACGAGUUCCUAAGGGAAUGAAGUUACCGAUACCCGGCUUCCAGGAAAAGCCACUAAGCGAAAGGCUUUAUUAAACCGUACUGAAAACCGACACAGGUGGUCAGGUAGAGAAUACUCAGGCGCUUGAGAGAACUCGGGUGAAGGAACUAGGCAAAAUAGCACCGUAACUUCGGGAGAAGGUGCGCUUACAGUAAUUGUAGUCCCUCGCGGAUGAAGGUGAAGUAAGUCGAAGAUACCAGCUGGCUGCAACUGUUUAUUAAAAACACAGCACUCUGCAAACACGAAAGUGGACGUAUAGGGUGUGAUGCCUGCCCGGUGCUGGAAGGUUAAUUGAUGGUGUUAUCGAAAGAGAAGCUCCUGAUCGAAGCCCCAGUAAACGGCGGCCGUAACUAUAACGGUCCUAAGGUAGCGAAAUUCCUUGUCGGGUAAGUUCCGACCUGCACGAAUGGCAUAAUGAUGGCCAGGCUGUCUCCACCCGAGACUCAGUGAAAUUGAAAUCGCCGUGAAGAUGCGGUGUACCCGCGGCUAGACGGAAAGACCCCGUGAACCUUUACUAUAGCUUGACACUGAACAUUGAAUUUUGAUGUGUAGGAUAGGUGGGAGCCUUUGAAGCAGUGACGCCAGUCAUUGUGGAGGCGACCUUGAAAUACCACCCUUUAACGUUUGAUGUUCUAACGAAGUGCCUGAAACGGGUACUCGGACAGUGUCUGGUGGGUAGUUUGACUGGGGCGGUCUCCUCCCAAAGCGUAACGGAGGAGCACGAAGGUUUGCUAAUGACGGUCGGACAUCGUCAGGUUAGUGCAAUGGUAUAAGCAAGCUUAACUGCGAGACGGACAAGUCGAGCAGGUGCGAAAGCAGGUCAUAGUGAUCCGGUGGUUCUGAAUGGAAGGGCCAUCGCUCAACGGAUAAAAGGUACUCCGGGGAUAACAGGCUGAUACCGCCCAAGAGUUCAUAUCGACGGCGGUGUUUGGCACCUCGAUGUCGGCUCAUCACAUCCUGGGGCUGAAGUAGGUCCCAAGGGUAUGGCUGUUCGCCAUUUAAAGUGGUACGCGAGCUGGGUUUAGAACGUCGUGAGACAGUUCGGUCCCUAUCUGCCGUGGGCGUUGGAUGAUUGAUUGGGGCUGCUCCUAGUACGAGAGGACCGGAGUGGACGCAUCACUGGUGUUCCAGUUGUCUCGCCAGAGGCAUUGCUGGGUAGCUAAAUGCGGAAGAGAUAAGUGCUGAAAGCAUCUAAGCACGAAACUUGCCAAGAGAUGAGUCAUCCCUGACUUUAAGUCAGUAAGGGUUGUUUAAGACUAAGACGUAGAUAGGUUGGGUGUGUAAGUGUAGUGAUACAUUGAGCUAACCAAUACUAAUUGCCCGAGAGGCUUAACCAU
This 2122-nucleotide ribosomal RNA is filed under the name Pasteurella multocida subsp. septica. RNAcentral's name for it is "bacterial LSU rRNA". It matches the Rfam family "Bacterial large subunit ribosomal RNA", at positions 823 to 2925 of the family's 2925-position model. Lineage: Bacteria; Pseudomonadati; Pseudomonadota; Gammaproteobacteria; Pasteurellales; Pasteurellaceae. The record is from RNAcentral.